AUUAAUUUGGCUUUGGUUAUAAUAUAAGCUAUUAUUAGGUUAAUAUAUGUUAGAUUUUUAAUAUGGUCGUUUUACUUAUUUAUAUUGUUAUUUAUUUUGUUUAAUAUAAAUUUAGUAGCAAAUAUUAUUUUUAGUAUUUUUAUUAUGAUAAUAAGAAUAGGUUACGCAGUAUUUAUUAUUAUACAAUGAAUGAAAGUUUGAUAUAGUUAGUGUAAAUAAAAGUGGUUAAAUUGGUGCCAGCAUCUGCGGUUAUACUAAUGCUUUAGGUUUAUAUUUAUAUAGUGUAAAAUAAAGUAAUAUUUAAUGAUUAUAUUAGAAUAAUUAAGAGCAUAAAAUUGUAGGUAAAAUUUAAUAACUGUUAUUAAUUAUAUUAUUCUGAUUGUAAAAUCUUUGAAAAUAAGAUUGAAAACUAGGAUUAGAGACCCUACUAUUCUUUAUUUUAAAAAUUUUUAUUACUUAAGUAGUGUGAACAGUUAUUUUAUGGGAAAUAAUUAUAAUAUUAUUAGAAUGUUUGAAACUUAAAAGGCUUGGCGGUGUUAUAUGUCCUUCCAGGGGAGCUUGUUUAUUAAUUUGAUAAUCCCCAAUUUAUACUUACUUUUUUUUGAAUAGUUAAAUAAAUCAGUUUGUGUAUUGCUGUCAUCAGUUUAUUUUGUAAAAAUUUUAUAAGAAACUUAAUAAUAAAUUAAUUGUAAUGUCAAGUCAAAAUGCAGCUAAUAAAAGAGGUUUAUAAAGUGAGCUACAUUUUAUAAUAUUUAAAUCAAUUAAAUUAUGUAAUUAGUUUAUGAAAUUGGACUUGGUAGUAAUAUUAUAAUAGUGAGUUUUUAUGAAUUAGGUUUUAUAACGCGUACAUAUCGCCCGUCGCUCUUGUUGGAAAAUAAGAUAAGUCGUAACAUAGUAGAUGUAGUGGAAACUGUUUCUGGAGUAUACA
This 928-nucleotide non-coding RNA is filed under the name Semirossia patagonica (Patagonian bobtail squid). Its description in RNAcentral is "12S ribosomal RNA". The stretch from base 505 to 919 matches the Rfam family "Microsporidia small subunit ribosomal RNA", at positions 752 to 1303 of the family's 1311-position model. The record is from RNAcentral. Lineage: Eukaryota; Metazoa; Mollusca; Cephalopoda; Sepiida; Sepiolidae.